GAUGAACGCUGGCGGCGUGCCUAAUACAUGCAAGUCGAGCGAACAGAUGAGGAGCUUGCUCCUCUGACGUUAGCGGCGGACGGGUGAGUAACACGUGGAUAACCUACCUAUAAGACUGGGAUAACUUCGGGAAACCGGAGCUAAUACCGGAUAAUAUAUUGAACCGCAUGGUUCAAUAGUGAAAGACGGUUUUGCUGUCACUUAUAGAUGGAUCCGCGCCGCAUUAGCUAGUUGGUAAGGUAACGGCUUACCAAGGCAACGAUGCGUAGCCGACCUGAGAGGGUGAUCGGCCACACUGGAACUGAGACACGGUCCAGACUCCUACGGGAGGCAGCAGUAGGGAAUCUUCCGCAAUGGGCGAAAGCCUGACGGAGCAACGCCGCGUGAGUGAUGAAGGUCUUCGGAUCGUAAAACUCUGUUAUUAGGGAAGAACAAAUGUGUAAGUAACUAUGCACGUCUUGACGGCACCUAAUCAGAAAGCCACGGCUAGCUACGUG
RNAcentral lists this ribosomal RNA (497 nucleotides) under uncultured bacterium. RNAcentral describes it as "partial 16S ribosomal RNA". It matches the Rfam family "Bacterial small subunit ribosomal RNA", at positions 28 to 507 of the family's 1533-position model. The record is from RNAcentral.